AGUAAAGAUGUAGAAGAAAAAGUAGAAUUCUUGCAUCUAGGUCUCCUUCCUCUUCCAAUCAAUGUGUUAAACUUUCAAUUGCUUGAUAUUUUCCUCCUAUGAAUUUCUCUUUUGAUUCUCCAAUUAUGCUCUUUUGCUUCUCGGGCUUUUUUCAUGUCGAGCCAUGGGCGACCCGAGCCGACGAGCCCAACUACCGUCCCUACCUACAUAAGCUAAUGCUCAAUAAGAAAAAAUCUUGCAUGUCAUGAGCAUGAAUAACAAUAAUAUAUGACACCAUGCCAUUUACUUUAAACAUUAUGCUAAAGAUGCAUCAUAUUCAAGUAUUCGUCAAAUUCAACUCAAAAUAACUUCAUUUGAAAUCUUUUAUUAAGCCUUUGACCCACCUACUAUGCACCGGAUAGAGUUCUGCACAAUAUCAAUAUUAAUAUCAAUAAUCAAAUAACUAAUAUGAAAUCGACACUAGGGAGUGGACCACCCUCUUAAGACCACUAGAGGUCCAUCCCCUAACCGUCCCUAUGAUCACCCAAAAGGUAUCCCACUCGACAACACCAAUAAUCAUAACACCACAAGGAUACAGUCGAGUGGUCCCCUAUUUACCUUUGCAAUCACCUGCGAUGGAAGAAUAUAUUAUACCAGCAUGCCUUAUACCAGCAUGCCUCACAUGUCUCGUGCCCUAGUAGUGGUCAACAAAACAUUUAUGAGAUAAAAAGUCAAUUGAAAAUCAUAUUGUGCAUGCUAGAUUUAAUAAUCUUAAACACACACAAUCCCAAAAUACGUCCAUUCACGCCAAAAUAAUUUAUACGAUAUCAUCAUUUGAAGUUACCGAUGUAGUCCUAUGAAUCUCGCUAUUUCUCGAGUCCAAUUAUGAAAGUCAAUAUCAUUCAAUUGUUCUCAAAUAUUUAUGAUUGUAAGCACUCUUUAGAAUCUAUUUCCUAGGCUCAAGAGAUAAUUAAUGGACAUGUAAAGGUUGAAACUGUAUUAAACAUGCAAAUUGACAGAAUCAGUUUCCAGGUUUUCAUAACCGUCCAAUUAUUUUUUCAAUCCUUUUUCACACCCUUAACUAUAUCCAAUGACUCUCGAAUUUUUACGACACUUCUAUAACAUGUAUGCGAAGGUAAUCAUGUCAUAAACUUGUGACAAACGAAGGUUUUGCUACUUCAAAAAUAGUCCCUUUUUCACAACACCAAAUCAGACAGUUUCCCCGUGAUGGUUUUCUGCUUUUAUUGUAUUAGUAUGCCACCAAUAAGAUUUUCAGCCAUUAAAAAUCAUUUCUAUACUUCUUCUUACAUAUAAAAGCAUUCAUAUUGAUAGAUAUAGGUUAUACUUUAACCAUCAUCCAAAAUCAAGGUUGAAACCAUUCAAAUUUGGCAAUCUACAUCUCUGUCUAGGUUUGUAAUUAAUUGCCCCUAUUUUGCCAUCAUAAAAUCAUCAACAACCUCCCAGCCAAUCUCAAACGAGUUCAGAGUUUCAACAGGUUUAUACAACACCCAAAAGAACUAAAGAAAAACUUCAAAACCGUGAGUUAAACUCACCUGCUGAAACUGCAAUUCUAGCCCCUAGUUUUCUAUUUCUCUUUGCUCCCUUUGCCCUCUCUUUUACUUGGGGAUAACUUUGGAGGGUUAAAUGUCUUGGGUAAGAGCUAUAUAAGGAGUCUUAAGGAUUGAGGUCAUGAGUGAUCCUUAAGGAUGAAGAAAAAUGUGAUUAAAGAACAAGUCUCCUCAAG
This 1723-nucleotide long non-coding RNA is filed under the name Olea europaea (common olive). RNAcentral's name for it is "long non-coding RNA (OEUR_LNC007696)". The record is from RNAcentral. Lineage: Eukaryota; Viridiplantae; Streptophyta; Magnoliopsida; Lamiales; Oleaceae.